AUACGUAGGUGGCGAGCGUUGUCCGGAUUUACUGGGUGUAAAGGGCGCGUAGGCGGGUGUGCAAGUCAGAUGUGAAAUACCGGGGCUCAACUCCGGGGCUGCAUUUGAAACUGCACAUCUUGAGUAUCGGAGGGGCAGGCGGAAUUCCUAGUGUAGCGGUGAAAUGCGUAGAUAUUAGGAGGAACACCAGUGGCGAAGGCGGCCUGCUGGACGACAACUGACGCUGAGGCGCGAAAGCGUGGGGAGCAAACAGGAUUAGAUACCCUGGUAGUCCACGCUGUAAACGAUGAAUACUAGGUGUGGGGGGACUGACCCCCUCCGUGCCGCAGUUAACACAAUAAGUAUUCCACCUGGGGAGUACGGCCGCAAGGUUGAAACUCAAAUGAAUUGGCGGGG
RNAcentral lists this ribosomal RNA (396 nucleotides) under uncultured bacterium. RNAcentral describes it as "partial 16S ribosomal RNA". It matches the Rfam family "Bacterial small subunit ribosomal RNA", at positions 523 to 918 of the family's 1533-position model. The record is from RNAcentral.